Microcebus murinus (gray mouse lemur) is the source of this 595-nucleotide long non-coding RNA. RefSeq lists it as uncharacterized. The record is from RefSeq and is a predicted model, not a curated record. NCBI's taxonomy places the organism in Eukaryota, Metazoa, Chordata, Mammalia, Primates, Cheirogaleidae.
CAAUGGCUUUCAGGUUUUGGGUUUACAAAAAGCAGAGACUUUUUGGUCUCUGAGGAGAGCCCAGCUAUCCAUGUAAGAAAGGGCAAAAGUUAGGGUGAAAAGGAAAAUCAUGCAGGCAAAUAAUCCAGACUAUCUAUUGAUUAGAACUUUCUUUUCUAAAAAAAGGUUGUUCUGAGGACAGCAUAAGGUCAAAGAUCUGGGUGGUGCUGUGCGGGGCAGCCUGGAAACAUCCAGUAUCCGGCCCGUAGUUACACAGGCCGUAAAGGAAAGACAGGCUCUGAACCCAGCAGCUGCCACUUCUUCUGAAUGCUGUAAUUUACAGAGAGAAUGGGAGGAGACUUUACAUUAAUGUGUGUCUUUAAACAACGAAAAACACUGAUGGAGCCUGGAGAAGCCUGUCGGGGUGGCGUGAGGCCCCUCCUGAGGAGAGACAUUGUCACGGGAUGUGCUUGCCCAGCGAACGCCCUGGUUUCUUCCUGGGCCUCUGUCGCCUAAUCGCCCCACGAGGAACAAACGCCACAACGACAUUACGUAUCCUGUUUUGUGCACAAUACCAUUUACUGAUUUCAAUAGCAAUAUCAUCUGCGAAACCCUC